RNAcentral lists this ribosomal RNA (484 nucleotides) under uncultured bacterium. RNAcentral describes it as "partial 16S ribosomal RNA". It matches the Rfam family "Bacterial small subunit ribosomal RNA", at positions 30 to 507 of the family's 1533-position model. The record is from RNAcentral.
AUUGAACGCUGGCGGCAGGCCUAACACAUGCAAGUCGAGCGGAUGAAGGGAGCUUGCUCCUGGAUUCAGCGGCGGACGGGUGAGUAAUGCCUAGGAAUCUGCCUGGUCGUGGGGGAUAACGUCCGGAAACGGGCGCUAAUACCGCAUACGACCUGAGGUAGAAAGUGGGUGAUCUUCGGACCUCACGCUAUCAGAUUAGCAUAGGUCGGAUUAGCUAGUUGGUGGGGUAAAGGCCUACCAAGGCGAGGAUCCGUAACUGGUCUGAGAGGAUGAUCAGUCACACUGGAACAGAGACACGGUACAGACUCCUACGGGAGGAAGCAGUGGGGACUAUUGGACGAUGGGCGAAAGCCUGAUCUAGCCAUGCCGCGUGUGUCAAGAAGGUCUUCGGAUUGUAAAGCACUUUAAGUUGGGAGGAAGGAAAGUACGUUAAUACCUUGCUAUUUUGACGUUACCAACAGAAUAAGCACCGGCUAACUUCGUG